CCCUUGGUGGUGUAGUUGGUUAUCGCGUUCGGCUGUAAUUGUAAGAUUGUAUACCGAAAUGUCGCCGGUUCGAUUCCGGCCCGAGGGA
This 88-nucleotide transfer RNA is filed under the name Hypoxylon sp. CI-4A. It matches the Rfam family "tRNA". From Rfam's summary of the family: Transfer RNA (tRNA) molecules are approximately 80 nucleotides in length. Their secondary structure includes four short double-helical elements and three loops (D, anti-codon, and T loops). The record is from Rfam by way of RNAcentral. Lineage: Eukaryota; Fungi; Ascomycota; Sordariomycetes; Xylariales; Hypoxylaceae.